GAUGAAGAACGCAGUGAAAUGCGAUAAGUAGUGUGAAUUGCAGAAUUCAGUGAAUCAUCGAAUCUUUGAACGCACAUUGCGCCCCUUGGUAUUCCAUGGGGCAUGCCUGUUCGAGCGUCAUCUACAACCCUCAAGCCCUGCUUGGUGUUGGGCGUCUGUCCCGCCCCCGCGCGCGGACUCGCCCCAAAUCCAUUGGCGGCGGCCCUUGCCUCCCUCUCGCGCAGCACAUUGCGCUUCUCGAGGCGUCGCGGGCCGCGCUCCACGAAGCACGCAAACCAGUCUUUGACCUCGGAUCAGGUAGGGAUACCCGCUGAACUUAAGCAUAUCAAUAAGCGGAGGA
This 340-nucleotide unclassified non-coding RNA is filed under the name soil metagenome. RNAcentral's name for it is "partial contains 5.8S ribosomal RNA, internal transcribed spacer 2, and large subunit ribosomal RNA". The stretch from base 1 to 120 matches the Rfam family "5.8S ribosomal RNA", at positions 35 to 154 of the family's 154-position model. The record is from RNAcentral.